RNAcentral lists this unclassified non-coding RNA (1937 nucleotides) under uncultured fungus. Its description in RNAcentral is "sequence contains 18S rRNA gene, ITS1, 5.8S rRNA gene, ITS2, 28S rRNA gene". The stretch from base 818 to 1937 matches the Rfam family "Eukaryotic large subunit ribosomal RNA", at positions 1 to 961 of the family's 3401-position model. Lineage: Eukaryota; Fungi. The record is from RNAcentral.
GGAGGGAUCAUUAACACGUUUCCAAAAAAAACGUUUAUCAACCAAAUCAACGUGAACCUAAAUCCAACUCCCUUGUCAGUGCGACGAACGAAUAAUCAUCAGGGUGGAGAUCGACGAAAGUCGAACUAUGACUCGUUCUAGGGGCCCUUGAGGCUCCAAUCCGCUGAUAAGUGUCUUUGCGACCACCUGGCAGUCUACAUUCGUGUAGCGUUCUGCCGAAUUCUUUAACACAAUUUUUUAACCCCUUUCACAACAUACUAAUAACUGAACCAUUUUUUUUCAAACAUGUCCUAGUGAUAUGGUUGAUAAAAAGAUAUACGUAAUGCUGAACAACUCUUAGCAAUGGAUAUCUUGGUUCUCGUAACGAUGAAGAACGCAGCGAAAUGCGAUACGUAAUGCGAAUUGCAGAAUUCAGUGAAUCAUCAAAUCUUUGAACGCAAAUGGCGCUCUCGGGAUAUGCCCGGGAGCAUGCCUCUCUGAGUAUCGGUUCUAUCUAUCACAGUCAGCGUGCUUAAUUGUCAUGUUUAGACAGUGGAAAAUGAGUGUCUGACAGCGCAAGCAGGUCAGUCACUUGAAACAGAUAGAAGCUUGGAUCGCACUAGAAGGUGCCAUCUUUCGAGAUGGAUAGCGAGCUCCUAUAUGGGCUCUACCUUUAAUAGUGACGUGGAUAGAAGUACCACUUGUUGGUCUUUCAAAACGUCUGCUAUUGAUAGUAGUAGCUUGGGUUGAUCGUGAACGACUAGAAGUGAUACAUGUCUUGUCAAUCGAAUUCAGUCUAUGUUGAGCUUUCGGGUUCAACCUACACUAUCUUUGAAUUAGAUCUCAGAUGAAGCAAGAGGACCCCCUGAAUUUAAGCAUAUUAUUAAGGGGAGGAAAAGAAACUAACAAGGAUUCCCCUAGUAACGGCGAGUGAAGCGGGAUGUAGCUCAAUCUGGGAAUCGAGAGUGGAAGCCCACGCCUCGAAUUGUAUCCUAGAGACGUAUUGUCAGCGUGUGACCUCGGUGCAAGUCUUUUGAAACAGGGCAUCAUAGAGGGUGAGAAUCCCGUCUCUGACCGAGAGUUCGCCGCGUACGACGUAUGUUCGACGAGUCGAGUUGUUUGGGAUUGCAGCUCUAAAUGGGUGGUAAAUUUCAUCUAAAGCUAAAUAUCGACGAGAGACCGAUAGCGAACAAGUACCGUGAGGGAAAGAUGAAAAGAACUCUGAAAAGAGAGUUAAAAAGUACUUGAAAUUGUUAAGAGGGAAGCGCUAGCAAGCAGUCAAGACAGAUAGCUAUACUUACUGUUGGACAUCGAAAUCAACUGCAGACCAGAUCGUAAGACUGUGUCGGGAAGAGGACGAAUGGCUGGCGGGUCAUGUAGUUGUUUGUGGGUCAGAGUCAAUUCGAUUCGUGACUGAAGGCUAGCAGAAAGGUAGGGUCUCCGGACCUGUUAUAGUCUGUUAGUUGAAUCAUGGAUUGGAUUGAGGAUUGAUAAUGAACGCCGUAAGGUUUCGGCGCGGCUCUUCUGUUAGGUUAAUUGGUGCUGAGGACAAUGUCCUGAGUGUUGAUCUAAUUUGACUCUAGGGGUCGCUGCCAGAUGUUCAUUCGCGAUUCUGACGAAAUGCUUGCUAUCGACCCGUCUUGAAACACGGACCAAGGAGUCUAACAUAUAUGCGAGUAUUUGGGUGCCAAACUCGGAUGCGUAAUGAAAGUAAAGGCAGUUUCGGCUGCUGAGGUAGGAAGGUGUAAAAACCGGCACUAUCGACCGAUCGUCACUUGUGAUUGAUUUGAGUGCGAGCAUAUCUGUUGGGACCCGAAAGAUGGUGAUCUAUGCCUGAACAGGGUGAAGCCAGGGGAAACUCUGGUGGAGGCUCGUAGCGAUACUGACGUGCAAAUCGUUCGUCUGAUUUGGGUAUAGGGGCGAAAGACUAAUCGAACCAUCUAGUAGCUGGUUCCCUC